Molecule: ribosomal RNA, 253 nt
Filed under: uncultured bacterium
Lineage: Bacteria
Description: partial 16S ribosomal RNA
Rfam family: Bacterial small subunit ribosomal RNA
Source: RNAcentral
UACGGAGGGAGCUAGCGUUGUCCGGAAUCAUUGGUCGUAAAGCGCUUGUAGGCGGUCCGGUAAGUCCGCUGUGAAAGUCGAGGGCUCAACCCUCGAAUGCCGGUGGAUACUGUCGGGCUAGAGUACGGAAGAGGCGAGUGGAAUUCCUGGUGUAGCGGUGAAAUGCGCAGAUAUCAGGAGGAACACCGAUGGCGAAGGCAGAUCUCUGGGCCGUAACUGACGCUGAGGAGCGAAAGCGUGGGGAGCGAACAGG